GCUUGGUGGUCUAGUGGCAUGAUUCUCGCUUAGGGAUUUGCGAGAGGUCCCGGGUUCAAUUCCCGGCCAAGCCC
Rhizophagus clarus is the source of this 74-nucleotide non-coding RNA. NCBI's taxonomy places the organism in Eukaryota, Fungi, Glomeromycota, Glomeromycetes, Glomerales, Glomeraceae. The record is from the annotation of a GenBank genome assembly.